This 253-nucleotide ribosomal RNA is filed under the name uncultured bacterium. RNAcentral's name for it is "partial 16S ribosomal RNA". It matches the Rfam family "Bacterial small subunit ribosomal RNA", at positions 524 to 776 of the family's 1533-position model. The record is from RNAcentral.
UACAGAGGGUGCGAGCGUUAAUCGGAAUUACUGGGCGUAAAGCGCACGUAGGUGGAUAUUUAAGUCGGAAGUGAAAGCCCUGGGCUUAACCUGGGAAUUGCCUCCGAUACUGAAUGUCUAGAGUAUGGUAGAGGAUAGUGGAAUUUCCGGUGUAGCGGUGAAAUGCGUAGAUAUCGGAAGGAACACCAGUGGCGAAGGCGGCUAUCUGGACCAAUACUGACACUUAGGUGCGAAAGCGUGGGGAGCAAACAGG